AGAGUUUGAUCCUGGCUCAGGAUGAACGCUAGCGGCAGGCUUAACACAUGCAAGUCGAGGGGCAUCGGGAGGGAAGCUUGCUUUCCUUGCCGGCGACCGGCGCACGGGUGAGUAACACGUAUGCAACCUGCCCUCUUCAGGGGGACAACCUUCCGAAAGGGAGGCUAAUCCCGCGUAUAUCGGUUUCGGGCAUCCGAGAUCGAGGAAAGAUUCAUCGGAAGAGGAUGGGCAUGCGGCGCAUUAGCUUGACGGCGGGGUAACGGCCCACCGUGGCGACGAUGCGUAGGGGUUCUGAGAGGAAGGUCCCCCACACUGGUACUGAGACACGGACCAGACUCCUACGGGAGGCAGCAGUGAGGAAUAUUGGUCAAUGGGAGAGAUCCUGAACCAGCCAAGCCGCGUGAGGGAAGACGGCCCUAUGGGUUGUAAACCCCUUUUGUCGGAGAACAAAACCCGGGACGUGUCCCGGACUGCGUGUAUCCGAAGAAAAAGCAUCGGCUAACUCCGUG
RNAcentral lists this ribosomal RNA (509 nucleotides) under uncultured Bacteroidales bacterium. RNAcentral's name for it is "bacterial SSU rRNA". It matches the Rfam family "Bacterial small subunit ribosomal RNA", at positions 8 to 507 of the family's 1533-position model. Lineage: Bacteria; Pseudomonadati; Bacteroidota; Bacteroidia; Bacteroidales. The record is from RNAcentral.